Alligator mississippiensis (American alligator) is the source of this 1680-nucleotide long non-coding RNA. RefSeq lists it as uncharacterized. NCBI's taxonomy places the organism in Eukaryota, Metazoa, Chordata, Crocodylia, Alligatoridae. The transcript is spliced from 3 exons. The record is from RefSeq and is a predicted model, not a curated record.
ACCCGCGCCGGGGAGCAGUGCGAAUGCGCCCCAUCCUUGAGGGACAUGCGCAGCAUGUGGGCAAACGGCGCUCCAACCGCCGUGUGCCGGGGCCGUUUGCUUGUAAAAACUGAGGUGUCUCUUUGUUUCAAAAGAAAAAGACAUGAGAAAGGUGCGGUUCUAGGGGAGCUUGUCGUCCUUGCUGCAGAGCAGUUGGGGGGUGGGGGUGAAGGGGCAGUGCCGCACUUCCCCUGAGGAGCGAUGCAGGGACGUGUGUGGCGAGGAUGUGUGCGCACAGGUGUCUGCGGAUCUCCGAGGCGGCUCUGAAGCUCUUCGGUAGUUCCAAACCGCUUUGGGAAGCCUAAGGAGGCCAGCGCUUCGACCUGGAUGUGCUGAUUCCGACCCCGAAGCAUCCGAAGUUUUCUGGAUCCGAAGCUCUGUCCAAAUCCUCGCACAGCCCUACAGUGCACUGGGAAGGGAAGAUUGCAUCGGCUGUGGCAUCCAGUGGAAUUGCUGCUACCGUGCUUACGGGAGGCAGGACUGUGCACCGAAGGUUCAGGGUACCCCUGAACGUGUUGAAAACCAGCACCUGCAGCAUAUCAGCCCAGUCUGACUUUGCUGAGCUGAUUCGAGAAGCACCUAUCAUCAUCUGUGAUGAAGCACCAAUGGCUCAUCGGUACAUGCUGGAGACUAGAUCGGAUGCUGUGAGAUUUACUGCAGACCAAUUUACCUUUUAGUGGCAAGGUGAUAUAGUGUUUGGGGAUGAUAUUCAGCAAAUCCUGCCUGUUGUGAAAAAUGCCUCAAGGCUACAAAUAGUAGAGGCAUGCUUCAAGUGAUCUGAGUUGUGGAGCCACUUCCAGGUUUUCCAACUUGGUGAGAACAUGCAACUAUGUAAGGAAGGUUUUGAUGCACGAAGUGCAAAAUACGCUCAGCAAAGAUAGAAUGGACAUUUCCAAAUCUAUUGGAUAACUAUCAAAAUCCAGGAUGGACAUCUGAAAGAGCUAUUUUGGCACCGCAUUAUUCCAUUGUACAGGAGAUCAUCAGUGCUACUGGGGCAAAAUUUCCAGGCCAAGAAUGGAUUUGUAUAAGCGCAGGUGCUCUUUCAGAGGAUGAACGUGUUAUGGCUGUGCCAACUGAGUACCUGAAUUCCAUGGAGGUGUCAGGUUUGCCUCCACAUCAGCUCCACCUUAAGCCUGGGAUGCUCAUCAUGCUUCUGCGAAACCUUGCCCCUAAGGUCUGUGCAGUGGAACGUGGCUGUUGGUGCAAUCCAUCAUCAACAGCAGACUACAUGAGGCAAAAAUUGUUGGAUCAGAAAGAACAGUACUAAUUCCUCGGGUAGCACUGAAGCUGUCUGACGACACCUUUCCAUUCAUGUGGACACGUCUACAGUUCCCUGUGCAGGUGGCAUUCAGCAUGACCAUCAAUAAAGCCUUAGGGCAAACAUUAAAAAGAGUAGGAGUGUUCCUUCUGGAUCUUGUCUUCACUCAUGGACAACUAUAUGUGGCUGCUUCCAGAAUCUCCCACCCAGAAAUCAUUCGAUUUGAAGUGACUGCUGACUCGAGUAACAAACCAGGAAUGUUGUGUGUACAGAAGUGUUGUAAAUCUCUUACAGUAAGGAAGUGUCAUAUGUUUGAGGAUUUUAUGUAUGCGGAAGUGUUGUGAAGCUGUUGAAGUGCAAUAAAAUAUGAUCUCAAGCAAAAA